CCCCGCGACCUUCGCUUCGUUUCCACGCGGGACUCUGCUCGGAGCCACUGACCCGUGGGUCCGACACCUCGAUGGCCCCACCAGCCGACGUACUCGCGGAAGGAGCUGAGCACCGCGCUGCCGUCCAGGUGACUGACAGGCACCGGACCAGGGCCCAUAUGUCACAGACUUUGGCGCCACCACAUUCCAAAUUCUUGCGUGCGACUUGGUCUGCUGACGCGUGGGACCGAGGAUAGGAUGUGACGCAAGGGGACCAACGAGUCAGUGGCGUGAGAAUGGUCAACUUGAUGUGGGGCGGCGGCCGAAGGGUUGGACGCGGUGGGGCCACGGGAGGGUAUCGCAUCCCGUGGAGAUGGUGGGGCCCGUCUGGCUGGCGGCAUCCGUGGAGAGGGUCGGCAGUGGGUACGUGAGAAAAAGCUGCCGGCUCGCCCGUACUCUUUCGCUGGCCACAGAACGAUCGCCGCCCAAGAUUGAUUCCCGACACUUUUCGCACGAUUUGACGUGUCAACCAAUUUACCCUCCGUAAUUUCCGGGGUUAAAAAAUCACAGUAGGUCUACCGUCACGAUGUCAUUUUCUAGUAGAAAAAUCUUGUGGCAAACAUUGCCUUGUAAAAACAGUGGCAAGAGGCCUAGAGGGUGUCUGACGAUGAGGUCAUGGGCCAUGUUCGAUUACAGAAUAUGACGACAUGAUGGUGAGUGCGCGCGCCAUGAUCUCAUGGCCAAGCUGAGAAAGAGAACAAUGUUAUAUUUUCGAAAAAGAGCAAUGUGUAUAGCCAUUGCCCUUGCUCCUUCCGGCUCUGCAACAAAUGGUGUGCAUAUCCACCACCUCUCAUCAUUGACAAUUACGAAUACUUGACAACAGAAAUGAAAAAUGCAUGCCAACAGGCUAAAAAAAAAUCUGUCAUCCAAUCUACCUCAGUUUUUGCUAUCUGAUACCCUUCAUUCGGGUGAAGAAUACAGCUAAAUGAAUGGGUUAGUAGCAGACUGCAAACCCCAGUUGCCAAGAGCCCAAGACACAGGAGCACCAUUUUAUCGCGACUUCAUGAGCUUUCGCAGGCUGUUGUUGUCUACACAUCGAUUCAGUAACUGUUCCGAGACCAAGCAAUCAACUAAUUACAAACAAGAUGCCAGUUAAAAAAUGUAAGAAGCAUGUUGAGAUACAGCUAGUCACAGCUAUUUAAAAUUGUUUUUCUUCACAUACAGGACGAAUUGUCAUCGUCAUUUACAGAGAGAGAGAGAGCUGGCUAACCAUGUCAAGAGUUCUGGGGUGGCUUCAGAUUCUUGGCCUAACCCUGCGGCCACUGGUGUCACCGCCGUCCGAGAGCUGCGCGCAAACGCUCUGGCUCUUUCCACCACUGCUGCACGGCUCCUCACACCCUGCAACGGUUUUCAGUAGCUCUGCCUGCAGUGCAAGGCAGUUCUCCCUGAGGCGAUUGAAUCCAUCACUCCGCAUUACAGCUGCAGAGACAUAAGGGUAUCUGGAAUGUGUUAUGGAGCUUUAUAAACUUAAUUGCACCAGGACUGUAAAAACUUAAUUGCACAAAUAAAGCAACCAAAAUGUUAAACGUUGGCAUGUUGGUAAUAUCCAGGUGAAAUACCUGGAAUUACCCAACACCGAAAUAGAUAGGUUGGCAGAAUUUCAACAAAGAUAUGGAUGUAGCAAUAAAGGACUUUCAAGCGCUGAAAAACUAGAUAAUUAUUCACCGAGCCAAUGUCAUUAGAAAACAUAUUGUAGGUAUUAUAAUCUAGCAUCCGAACCAAAUAAGUCACAUCUGAAAGCUGCUAAUGACAACAUGUGGCAGCCCCAGUAUACUUCAGUUAGCUUACCUUCUAUUCGUAAUUGGGUUGCUAAUGUACUACAUCUAGAAUAAGUACAACACCCAUUAAUGCAAACUGCAUCUGCAUGCUACCUCUUACAGAAUUGACAAUACCUUAGCAUCUUGUUCAUUCAGUUAAUAUUGUUAACACAGUCUAGGUUGUUUAAAAAAAACUAAUGUACCAAAAUGGCACUCCAGUGAUCUACAGAGCUGAUUAUAUGAAUGCCUAGCAAGCUGUAAUAAUGUAGGUGGCUCAUGCAUACUGUACUGAAAAGAAACAUGGAAGCAAGUAUAAUGGUCAAAUGCAUACUUCCACAAGAAAUAUAGCAAAAUAGUUUCAACUGGCAAAAGCAAGAAUUUUUUCAUGCCAGAAUAAUAACCAUAAAAAUGGACACACAAAUAAGGGGCAUACACUCAUACAUAGAAACAAAACAAAGUUUUUUAAUACUUAGGGUCACUAUAUGAUCACUCAUGCAAUACUUGGUUGUUGGGAUGUUGGUUUAAAUUGCAGAAUUAGGAGCUUAGAUUAUUUGUUUGAAUCAUGGGCCUAGGUGAAUAACUAGGGUCUGCCAGGCUUCUAUUUUUUCCUGUCUGCUUCUUCUCAAACUGAUGUAUUUCCAUUAUUUCUGUGAAUGAAAACGGGGUAGCCUCAUACCAGAAACAAGGGGAAAACAAAGUUUUUUUUUAUUUUUCAUGUUGUUCUUCUCUCCUCUUCAUGGCAGCACACUAUGAAUAUUUUCAGCUGAUAAGAAGUUUUGAAGCAAAUACUGGGUCACUUGGUGUCAUAAUCAGAAACAAGAUUCAGUAUGGAAAGCGUUAGUACCUGAAAGAUUUUCUGCAGCAAAUUUUAGGCAAACAGCUUUAAGCUCCAUAGCGCGGUGACGAUCAGCCAAUUCUAGCGUACUCGAAACUGAAGCCACCGUUACACCCUUGCACAGGUAAGAUUCACAUAGCAAUCUUAGCCUUCCUAAUUCAUACUUGUCUGCUGCAGCCAACAACUUAGCUGCCAGAGUAUCAAAGACAGAACCGUCAGAGCUUGAUGCGCCCAACUCGUUCUCAUCAACAAGGGUAUCUCUAUAGAGGAAAUGAAGCAUUGCCUGCAACGAAUAUUCGCAUACAUUAAUUACUUGCUAGUCACUGUUAUACUGUAAGGAUAAACUCAACAUAGGAAGAGCAGCAUACCUUGAAAACCUUUGGCUCCAUAUCAUCAAUAAAAAACUCUCUCAGUUCAUCGCUCUCAUCAACCUCGCUCUUCUCUCCAUCAGAUUCAUCAUCAAAAAAUUGAGAUCUGAAUACAUGAGAGCGUGCAGCCAACACCAACUUAUGGGCAUGAAACCUCUCUCCUCCCACAUUAAGAAUGACAUCAACACCCUCCUGAUUGUCCAACAGUGAACCGAAAUGAUAACCAAUGUCUGAGUCUGGAACCUGGAUAGAGUGUGGUCUGGAGUAAUCAAUAGUCGAAACAACAACACCCACAGUGCAAUUUAUCUUCAGGCAAUCGUCUUUAAGAAAGUCUGAUGUCUCAAGGGCAGUUCGCCGAAAGAACCGUUUGUAACCCCUGAAACAAAGAAGGAUCAAUCAAAUUAAAUUCUCACAGGCUGAUUAGCUGUCUUAACUUCAGGGAAUGGCAGUGUUGCAAGAGCAACAAUUUCACACAAUACAGUUUCCACAUGUAAACAAGCCUUAUCCAUUUCUCAAUUUACAUUAUCAAUGCAUCACAAGGUGAUAUUUUUGUGCCUGUGGUUGAAUUGGUUCCGUAGACAGUAUGCAUUCAAAAUAAGUAAGCAGAUUCAAGUAACUAACUGCUGUUUACAAUAAACCAAAUCAUUAAAUGAACCCAAGUAUUGAGGUGAACAUCUAAUAAAUAAACACUAAAAAAACUCGAAAUAUACAGGUUACCAUGGAAUCACUGCUGCUAACUACAGCUUUGCACUACCAACAAACAUACCAGCAUGAAAAAAGUAACAAGCCAAACAAAAAUAUCAAAUCCAGGGACCUCAAAAAAACAGAAGUAUACAUGUGUCAGACCAAACAAGAUUCCAUGCAUGCUUCAAGAUUUCUUGCACUGAAAGAGAAGGAGACCAAUUCAAUGGAGCAGGGACUGGCAUCCGCUUUGCCUUUCCCCCUCAAAAAAAUAAUGUCCAUUGACUCAACAUGUAUCCUAGAAAACUAAUAAAAAACAAACAUCAACUGUGUAAUUCCAACUUUCAGUUCAACACUAGCAACAAUUUGUAAAAAUUGCACAGGCAAAAUUAGCUAUAGGCUUACUGAAGGGUGAUCAAAUGCAUAAGGAUUAAUGCCACUUCAGGAAACUUUCAGGGAAACAGAAAACACAAAACUUAUUCAAUCACAAACACAACCAAUUGCCAAUAUGUUCUAGCACAAAGGCAGUAAAAAAAUAUUAAAACAUCAGUACACUACAACAACUAAAAACAAACUACAGCAACUGAAAGCAUACAUUCAACAGCAUCAUUAAUUUGCUGGAAUCGCCCAAAAUCACUAUUGGAACUGCCAGGCGUGUAUGUGCGCAUUUCGAGCAUGAAUCAUAAUCUCAUGAUAUCUGUGUGCCCUAAUUUCAACAGUGGAAAAUUCAUCAUUGCACAUGCCAAUUUAUCAGUCAAGCGUACAAACAACUAACAUCCAAAUUUACCUCGAAAAAAAAAACUCACAUCCAAAUUAAAGGAUAGAACAAAGUUGCAAAAGAAAAUUCAUAACCCCACACACAUAAGAACUGAUAUUCAAACAGAACUACCAACAUCAAAUGGGAAAUUCAUAUGGCUACCUGAAGACCAAAAUGGGAACCUAAUUAUCACCGCAAUAGACCCUUGUGCACACUAAAUUCUCCAUUCACACCCACAAGCACCCACAUGAAGUCCAAUAAAUCAUCCGACUGUCAGAGUACAAUUUUGCAACAUAAUCACACAGGUGCCAUCACAGCACCAGAGCCAUGACAGCCCAUCCAUAUCAACCCUAACUGAAUGCUGGAUAGGCUAUGAUUCAGCUACAGAAUAAACCUCUGUGGAUGCUAAUUCGUCGCAACAGAAGCAAGUCUCGUAUUAGUGAUAAACCUAGCACAAUCACAUCAGCCCUGAUUGAAUAUUGACUCCUGGACUGCAAUUCCACUGCCAAAUUAAUCUUGUGGAUGCUAAUUCGUCACAACCAGAGCAGUCUCAUACUAUAACGAACCCAGCACGACCGAAUACGGAACAAGCACGGCAAAAAUGGACCGGGAGGGAUCAGCGCGGUGAUUACCACAUGGAUCCGCGGUACUUGAGGGUGUACGGGCCGGACUCGAGGGAGCGGUCGAAGUGGGAGUGGACCUUGUGCUUGCCCUUGCCGCUCUGGUCGAGGAGCGUGAGCUCGAAGAGCGCGCGGACGUCGGUGCCCUCAGAGGCGAGGGCGAUGAAGACGGAGACGUAGGCGGAGUUGUCCUCGGGGUUCUUCCCGUCGGGGUAGAAGUAGACGGCCCACUGGAACCCGCCCACGGAGAAGGUCUCGCUGGCGAUGUGCUUGCCCACGCCCAUGCCCUUGGCGAGCGAGUAGCCCUGGAUCACGAACCGGUGGGAGCCGUUCACCGUCUCCGUCACGGAGCGCGAGCUGGUGGGGGACGACGACAUGUCCCGCUGCGAGGGGGCGGGGGGCUGCGGGGCGGGGGCGGGAGCGUGAGGAUGGUGCGCGUGCGCGUGAGCGUGAGCGUGCGCCGGGGGAGGGGGUGCCGGCGGCGGCGAGGCGUCGCCGGCGUCCUCGUCCAUGGCGGGCGGGGUAGGGUUAGGGUUCCGGGAGGGGGAGGCGGGGGAAUGGGGAAUUUGGUCUCGGUUCGUUUGUUUGCGGUUGCGGGUGACGUGAGCGUGCGUGGAGAGGGGUGGAUGGCGAAGCAGCGAGCCAGUGAGCCAGCCGGUCGCGACUGCAUGUCGCAUAAUACGUGAGUCUCACUUAUCAACGACAGGUCUUUGCGGGUCCCACCUAUUGGAUCCUUCUUUUUUCAUCCGGCUCCUUCCUCUUCCUCGGUUCGUGCGCCGCCCCCCUCUCCCUGGAGAUGAGGUCUCGGGGGAGCCGGGUUAGAGCGGUGGAGGAUGGUGGCAGCGGAUGCGGCGGCGGGAGCCGCCAGAACCGGAGGAGGAAGGCGGCGCGAGGCAAGUAGAGGAGAGGGGUUUGGGUUCGGUGUUGGGGGCUCGCCACCGGUAGGGUUAGGGUUUGGGGUGGACUUCGGGCUUGGGGUCUCCCGUGACCUCCGGCUGUAGAGGGAGGGCCUUGGGCGGCGACGGGUCGUGGGCGGGGCGGCAGGAGCCGCUAGCCGCGGGUGUCGGAGGAUAUCCGGUGGGCGGCGGAGGAGGCAGGGGAGUGACGGUGAGCAUCCCAGUGGAGUCGGGUUAGAGCGGCAGCAAGAGCCGUCGGAGUUGGUAAAGGAGGGCAGCGUGGGGGCGAGAAGGGGAGUAGGGGCGCGGGGGUGACUGGAGGAGGAAGACGACCUCCUCGUAGGCCAUUUGGGUAGGCCGGAGGCGGUGGUGGGCCGCGUGCUCACUGAAGGCGGCGUGUCGGCGAUGCCCAGCUGCGCCCGCCUGGUUGGGCCUUUUGCGGUUGUGGGUUGUGGGUGACGUGAGCGUGUGUGGAGAGGGGUGUGGAUGGCGAAGCUGCGAGCCGAUCGGGCAUGAGUUGGCAGUGAUUGUUCCGCUCCGUUUGAUCAGUUUCGUCACGUACUCGCAUCCGUCAACUUCCACAAGCCCGUUUGGAGCCCUCUCUAGCUCAAUAUUUUGAUGCUAAUUAGGACAACUAAAUAUGAACUAAUUGCAUGAAUUAUAAUUAAUUGAUAAGUAGAACCCAUUGUUCUAAUUAGACCACGAUUAGCUCAUGUUGUGCUAUAGCAAAUAUGAACUAAUCAUGAUCUAAUUAGGAUUAGUGGAUUCUACUCAUCAAUUAAACGUGACUUAUGCAAUUAGUUUAUGUUUAGUCAUCCUAAUUGAUAUGCAAACAUCGAAACUAAUUUUUAGUCAAAAGCUCCAAACAGGACCCAAAUCUUUCUCGAUGUGUACACAUGCAAAGCUCCGCAUCGUUACCGAUGAUAAAGGGUUUGCGCUGAGGAUUCCGACCCUGACUCGGAUUCCGACCUUAAGCUGCAUAGGGAUCUCCGAGUUCACCUCCUACGUGGACGGCAACGCUGGCCACCGCUUGCUCCCAGUGCUGUUUAACUGGGCACCGAUGAGCGAUGAACAGGCUAAGCGUAUGAUUUGCCUUUAGAUUUGGGUCUCUCAAGCGAACAGUCGAUUCCUCACGUUCAUAGUUCAACCUUUCCGCACACAAUAGCUAUUGUGAGAAAACUUUGUGUUAGUUAUUGUGCAUUCCCUGUUUUGGCGCACUAGGCCAUAGCACAUCUCGCUAGCGCUAAGCAGCUAGCUAAUCAACCAGAUGCGACGCAUUUGUCUGUUUCUGUUUCCGCGAAUAUGGGGCGGGCUGGUUAGAUAUAUUUUUGAAAAAAUUGGAUAUAUAUCCAGCCUCUGCGACCGCACACAUUCAAAUUUUACAUUAUUCAAUUCUCAGCACAGAUCACACAAAUAAGUGUAAUAGUACGCAAACGACAGGAAGAAAUUAAAAGCAAAGUCUAUUAUAACUUCUCGAUCCAUUCUUGGCAAAGAUAUCUAGGGCGACGAUCUCCAACUCCUUGCUCGCCAAACAGAUGGUCUCCCUUGCUUCCUCACGCUGCAAAAGGGACCAAUAGCGUAGCCAAUAUGCUCCCCUGAAAAUAGCCUGCAUAAAAGAGACUAUUUUUUUUUCAAAAAACAUAUCGUUACUCGUACACUAAAUUGCCCACAUCAAAGCUGCAAGAAAAUCAAAUUUCUAUCUUUUUUAUUCAUGUUUGUUACCAAUUUCCAAGUAUGUGUUGUAUUGAUCUUAGUGGGGUUAACCCAAUAGCUAUAGUUACAACCGUCCAAAUUAUCUUAGCAUGUUGACAAUCAAAGAAGAUAUACUUAAUUGUUUCGUUACAGAAACAACAUUUUUGAAUUCCACUCCAAUUCCUCUUAGCUAAGUUACUUUGUUAAGAUAACACACUGUUGGAGAUACCAAGGGAAGAUCUUUAUUUUUAGAGGAAUCUUUAACUUCCAUAUAAAUUUAUUGAUGAAAGGAAUACCCUGGUUAAUGAGAUAUUAAUACAUAGUCUGAACAGUAAAUUUGCCUUAUCUAUGCCUACGCAAAUCGUAGGUAAAAUUCUCCCUCCCAUCAGAAAGCUGGUGAGCUUUUACUUUAGCUAAAGAUUAUGCCAGGCAGUCAGUUUAUCUCCGACUAAAACUCUUCGAAAUGAUAUAUUUAGCGGCAUUUGGUUCAUGACAUUUGCCACGUAGGGAUAGUAUACUAUAUUAUAUAGAGUGGGAAAUUACUCUUUAAGUGGUGUAGAGCCUACCCAUGUAUCCUCCCAGAAUCUAGUUUGGGAACCAUCUUUUAUCUUGAAGGUCCCACAACCUAGAAAAUCUUCCCUAACUUUAAGCAAACCUUUCCAAAAGUGUGAAUCGCCACGUUUAAUUUUAACCUGGGAUAGGCAGCUUGAACUCAGAUAUUUAUUUCUAAGUAAGGUAUGCCAUGUGACAUCUUCAUUUAGUAAUUUAAAUAGCAAUUUGCUAAUGAGACAUUUAUUUUUAAUAUAUAAGUCUACUAUUCCCAGACCCCUUAUCUUUCGGACGGUACAAGAUAUCCCAUUUAGCUAGGCAAUAUUUUUGUUUAUCACUAUUGCCUUGCCAAAAAAAUCUGGAUCGAUAGACAUCUAAUCUUUUCAGGACACUUUUAGGGAUUUCAAAGAAAGACAUCACGAAUAUAGGCUACUAAGGACGGAAUUUAAUAAAAUCAGCUGACCCUUAUAGGACAAGUGUUUAGCCUUCCAUGUACUUAGUUUGCAUUUGAAUCUUUUCUCGGUAGCACUCCAAUUCGCAUUACAGAGUUUGUGUAGUGCAUCGGGAUGUCUAGGUACCUGAAAGGGUACGAUCCUAGUUCACAGCCAAACAAUUGAGUAUAUUAUUGCUUAUAAUGUUUAGCUUCUCCAUAGCAAAAGACUUCACUUUUAUGAAAGUUAAUCUUCAAGUCUGACAAUUGUUUAAAGACAGAGAGCGAAAGCUUCAUAUUCUUAGCUUGCUCUAGAUUGUGAUUCAUGAAUAUGAUCAUGUCAUCUGCGUACUGCAAAAUAAAUAAUCCUUUUUCAACCAAGUGAGGAAUGACUCCUUUAAUUUGCCCACCAUCCUUAGCCCUCUUAAUCAAGAUGGAGAGCAUAUCUGCCAUAAUGUUGAAUAGGAUAGGUGACAUGGGGUCUCCUUGCCUCAGACCCUUUUUUGUUUGGAAGUAGUGCACAAUGUCAUCAUUAAUUUUGAUGCCCACACUACCUCCCGAGAUAAGAUUUUCAAUCCAUGAACACCAUUGUGGGCAAAAUCCCUUCAUUCUGAGUGUCUGUUGUAAAAAAAUGCUAUUUUACUUUAUCAUAAGUCUUCUCAAAGUCAAUUUUAAGAAUAACGCCAUUGAAUUUUUUAGUGUGUAGUUCAUGGAUAGUUUCAUACAAAAUCACUACUCCCUCCAUAAUAUUCUGACCGGACAUAAAUACCGUUUGGGAAGGUCUAACUACAUUGCUAGCCACUCCCAUGAGUAUAUUAGUACUUGGUGAAAAUCUUGAAACUCACAUUAAGCAGGCAGAUGGGUCUAAAUUGUUGUAUUUCUGUUGCCCCUUUUAAUUUGGGAAGGAGGGUAAUUACUCCAAAAUUGAGGUUGGGUAGAGGCAGAUACUCCUCAUAAAAUGAUGUGAAAAGCUCCAUCAGGUCUUUUUUUUAAUAUCCCAUAAUACUUGAUAAAAUUCUGCUGGAAAUCAUCAUGUCAGGGUAUUUAUUGUGCUCCAUCUGGAACACAGCCUCUUUUACCUCUUUCUCUGUAAAUGGUGUUGUGAGGAUACUAUUUUCAUUUGCAGUCACCUGAGGUAUGUCAUGGUUUUGAUGCUCCACCAUAGUAAAAUCAUUAACAUAUGGUGGUACGAACAAAUCCUUAUAAUAGUUUGUGAUAUAAACUUUUAAUUCAGCAUCACCCACUAUUAUGCCAUCUUCUUGUUCUAAUUUAAAGAUGUGUUGUUUUCUAUGCUUGCCAUUAGCGACCAAAUGGAAAUAUUGGGUGUUGUCAUCACCUUCCAAUAGGUAUUUAAUUUUAGCUCUCUCAUACCAUUUAAUUUCCUCUUCCCCCAAUAAGUGAACUAAUCGUUCAUUGAGGUAGUGUUUCGUAUUUAACUCAUGGUCAGAGAGCACCCUUAUCUUAGCUAUUUUAUCUAAAUCAUUGAUCAUUAGGAUUAAUUUUUUCUUCUCCUUUUUAUUAUGGCCAGCUAUAUUUUUGAUCUAGCCCCUCAAAAAUUGUCGAAGAGCUCUGAUUUUAUUCUGCCAUAUGUCCAUAGAAGUGGUUCCUUUGGUUUUUGGAUUGCCAUUUAUUAGCAACCAGAUCUCUAAUAAGCCAGCCACGUUCAAAUUUAAAUAAUGGUUGUUGUUUGUUGUGGGAAGAAGCACCUGUGUUUAAUAUUAAAGUUGUGUGAUCUGAGUUACUUCUAUCUCUGGCAUGUACUGCUGUGAGAGGAAACUUAUAUUUCCACCCUGUACUAACUAAGACCCUAUCUAGUUUAUCAAAGGUUGGAUCAUCCCCGCUACUCGCCCAAGUAUAUUGACGACUUGACAUUUCUAUCUCUCUGAGAUCAAGAGUUUGAACGGCCAUGUUAAAUAAAUCUGGCCAUUUUGCAUCAAAUUUGUCCAUAUUUUUAUUUUCAGGAUGACACAUUAUAUUAAAAUCCCCACCAAUUAUGUACGGUAAGGAUUCUUGGUUACAUAUGUGGGCCAUCUCAGUUAGAAAACUUUCCUUAUGUUCCUUUUGAGCAGGACUAUAAACUACAAACAAUGCCCACUUGUACCAUCAUUUUUAUUUUGGAGUGUGAACUUAACAUAAAAGUCCCCCUCAUUGAUGGAUCCAAUGUCAAACAUGUAAGGUCAACUCCAAGGAGAAUGCCCCCGGAUCGACCAUGUGGUGCCAUGCGGUGCCAAAUAAAUUCUUUGCCACCAUAAAGUUUUUUAAGGGUCCCAUUGGGGAAGUGAUCCUGACCCGUUUCCAUGGGGCAACGAAAACUAUUUGCUCCUCUUUAACCAAAUCCUCCAAGUACUCAUGUUUAGUCAAGUCCGCAAGAUCUUUGCUAUUCCAGAAGAUCCCUUUCGUUUGAAACUUAGCUUAGAUGGUGCUAUUGGUUUUUUAGCCGAUAAGGCCGCCUUAUUAUUCUUUUUCCAAUUUUUUUCAUGUGGGGUGUAGCAAUUAGAUGAUUACAAAUGUGGUCUAGGGCCUCCUCGUGCACACUUUCAUCAAAAUCCCCACAAGCGUGGUGGAGCUGUGCACUAAGUAGUCCUCUUCUCCCUCGUCCAGAUUAAUUUUAGGAGAGGGAGACUUACCUGUUGUUACCAACAUUUAAUUUAGCUGCCACCUUAAGUCUAUAAAUUUCUAUGUUUUUUAAAGAAGUAACAGAAGAUAUAACACUAUUAUCUCUACCCAUAGAAACACCUAGGUUGGCAAUUCUAGAAACAAUAUUGGAAUAUGAAAUAGAAGGAAAAGAUGGGCAAUUACGUAGUUCAAGUGAAUUUUUCUUGGCCACCAAAUUAAUUGCUUUUUCUACCAUGUUUGUGUCAUCCAUUGUAGAAGCUCUUUUACUGGAUCUUUUCAUCAACCCAAUACCCCUAUUAUUUGCGGUAGAAAUCACUUCUAUUCCAAUGAUGGUGUCAAGAGCUUGGGGAGCAUUUUCCAUUGCCACAUUGGUGAGAUUAGCCUGUUUUCCAUUCUUUUUGAAAAGUGCUUGGAGCAUGUGUCGAGGUAGUCCAAGAAAUUUGUUUGAAGAACUAACCUCUUGUUGAACAGCCCCGUAGCAAUCAAUGGUUCCCAAUGAAUAGCAAUCUCUCCGCUCGCCUGUGUAUUCAGUUCCUUCCUUCGAUGGCACACCAUCAAAUGUAAGGUUGGCCUCCAUGACAGAGCCCCUUUGUAUGUUAUCCUCUUCCAUGGGCAGCGAACCUGAUGGGGGAUUGCUUCAGUGUCAUCUGUCAGUUCUGAUUCAGCAGCACCAGCUCCCAACUCUGAUGCAGCUCCAUCCAGUUCGAGAUGAACCUUGGGAGGGUUGGAUAACUCCUCAGGCAGGAUGAGUUGCUCAUACGAUGGUUUCAAGGAGAAUGAGUUGGUCCUUUACUUUAGCCUGUUGAUGGGUUGAUCUGGUGAUGGACGAGUCCAUUCCGUGCGUCAAACCAAACAGUGAGUCCAGGCUCGGAAGGAGGAUCAGAUGAUUCCACAUGGCGCCACGUGUGAACCAAACACGUUGUUAGAGUAGCAGUCAGCUCGGCUGGUUCUAUCCGGAACACCAGAGAUAUUGGUUUGUCAAAGAUGAUGGUACGAUGCAUAGGUAGGAUCAAGUCAUAAUUGUAGAAAAACAUAACCUGAUGGGAUAGGCAACGGACGCAUGACAUAACCGCGGUCCUUGAAGUACAUGAUUUAGGCGGCGAAAAAUAUAUUAUGUCGCGCUGUAUCUUAUUCUUUACUUACAUCCUGCUCUAGUUAAUUAUAGUUUAGUUUAAUGGCCAGAUUUUCCUUGUUUUUUUUUGAAAGCGCCAGAUUUUCCUUUUGGAUAGCCUAUGGCCGGAUAGGCAAAAACACGAAGAAGGGAAGCACGUGGAUAAUUUGCAUAUCAGCUUCCUCAUGGGCCAUACAUCUGGAAGAAGUUAUACGAAACGGCGUUAACUGGGCCGCUAGUUUUCUUUUUCUCCACUCCUGGGCCGCGAAACAGAGCGCCGGCUGCCGGCUCGACGAGCUCUCUCUCUGUAGGCGACAGCGACGCAUAAUCAUCGCUCCCCUUCUCUCUCUCGCGGUGUCGGCCUCCCUUACCUAGCGGCGACGACAGCGCGAGUUGCGCUGCCCGCCAGUUCUUCGUCGGGCGACGGGCGCUUCGCCGGCGACGAGCAUCCGACAGGGGUAUGCCUUCCCAUUCCCCUCCCUUUCCCAUCCUGCUGCGCGAAGUCGAACACCAAACCCCUAGCGUGUGGUAUUUGUAUUCGGAUCUGACCAUGAUUUUGCCUAUUAAAUUCGGGGUUUUUUUUUGCAACAAUACUACUACUAGGUUAAGUGUCCUAUGCUAGGUCCGCCCCUGUUGUUAGCUCUCUCCUCUAUUUUGGAAAAAUGUUUAACUCUGCGCUUUAUGCUAUAGAGUUUCUCCUACUGGCUUGUUCUUUCAGAUGAAUUUUUUGUUUGUUAAGAGUUAAGAUUGGCGCAGAAGAUUGAUAGCUUCAGAGUCACAUAAUGAAUGGGGGAAAGGAAAGAAUAAUUAAUCCUGUGUGGCGUCCAAUCUGCACUGCUAAUAUGUUUUGGGGAAAAUUUGGCAGCCCGCGGUGCUGAGGCACUGAAUUUCCCAACUACUAGUUCUUAUGUCCUACUCAUCCCUGCCUUUUUGACUUGACAGCCACCAAAUUCUACCUCAUGUACUCCACCGCCUCCUUUUCUGACCUCUUUGAUGCCCUAAACUAAAACACUGAAGCAAGGCCAUCCAAGGUGCCCUUCUGCCUAGCGUCAUGCACUCUAUAGUACACUGGUUUUGUGUUGGAAAUUAGUAGUCUUAGCGAGGCCAGAGAUUUGCUCCAUCUCAGUCGCUGACCAUAGCUUUGAUGCAAUAAAGAAUACCUAAAAUAUAUGAAUUUUGGGUAACAAAAUGAUUUCAAGGUGUAUCUUGAAGUUGCAUCGAGGUCCUCUUUUUUUCUUGCUUAUGGUUUGACCCUCUAAACAAUUGAAGAUAUAUCAUGGGUUUUGUCCUUUUGGUUAUCCUCUAUUGCUUACCGUGUUUAUAAGAUAGGAGGUUCGGCUCUUUAGCUCUUGCUGAAGAUAGACCAUCGGAUCUUUAUGCGGUGCUUAUUAUUACUGUUUCACCAGUACUAUUUUACUAGGCUCAUUGCUGAGACGAGUUGAAUGUGCUCCUUUUGCUGAUGUGGAGAUGAUCAGUUGGCUGUUCAGGUGCUUUUUUGUUAGCACAAAACUACUACAGCUCAUUCUCCUUGUUGGGUCUUCUUUGUACCUGGUCCUUCUCCUGUCACAGUUUUCUGUGUUUCUGGGAAAUCUCUUGGCAUCAGUUGAAUAAUUGCUUCUUUGGAAGUUAAAAAGUUAUGCCCUCUCCAGUUCUAGACCCUUAGCAAUGACACUUGGUGUCUGUUAUUUGAACCUUUUGUGACUUACGAACUGUGAAAUUGGUGAGCUGCUGUUGGUACAUCUGCUUAUUGCUUGAAGAAAGAAAAUGAUGAUAACCUUUGAUUGUCACUUGCAUAUUUGUCUUACUUGGCUUCAUGAAUCUUCACUAAUAUUUACUCUCGCAUAACAGGUCGUAGCUACAAAUAUUUGAAGAUCUUUAUUGGUGAUUUCCAGUUAUGUUCCCUGCUUUUGUUUGAGAUUCUUUGAGGUGAUGACGGAUGCCAACUCAUCAUUCUCCGGAGGUGCUAAGUUGCAGCCAAGUACAAGCAUGAAUACUGAUUCAUUCAUGCGUGUUCCAGCCUCCCCAAUAUCAUUUUCAUCAAAUAACAUCUCUGGCUCUUCAGUCAUUGAUGGUUCAAUUGUGCAGCAAAGUCCACCCCAAGACCAGGUGCAAAAGCGGAGGUCUUCAAGUGUAACAUCACAUCCUAUGAUUGAGGCUGGUGGUGCAUUGCAUGCUCAAAAGAAAUCAAGAAUUGAUGUUAGGCAAGGUGAUAUACUGCAGCAGCAGCAGCUGAUUCAGCAGCUGCUCCAUGGUCAGAGCUCACUUCAUCUUCAGGGGCAACAUGCUUGGAUCCAGCAGCAAAAACUGGCACAGAUGCAGCAGCGGCAGCAGCCGCAGUUGUUGCAACCGUUUGCUCAGAUACAACAAUCUCAAAUCGGCAUCCCUCGUCAGCCUCAGCUUAGGCCACCACUAGCACAGCCUGGAAUGCAGCUAGCUGGACCUGUUAGGACUCCUGUUGAUAGUGGGCUUUGUUCCCGCAGGCUAUUGCAGUAUUUGUAUCACAAACGUCAUCGUCCAGAGGUACGUUUCUGCAUUGUAUACACUGUUCAUGGGAUUAUGAGAUGCAAGUCCUUACAAUUUACUUGCAUGCUGUCUUGUAGAAUAAUCCCAUAACAUACUGGAGGAAGCUGGUUGAGGAAUAUUUUGCACCACGCGCAAGAGAAAGGUGGUGCGUUUCUUCUUAUGAAAAGAGAGCAAAUGGUUCCGUUUCUACCCCGCAAACAGCUCUGGUUAGUUAACAGUUUACACUUCACAGUGGCAAAUUUACUUGCAAUUAUAUUGUUCUUGGUUUUGUGGUCCAUGUCAAGCAUCACUUUCUGUCUUAUAUCAAAAUAAGAUUGAUUAGCAUCUUCUUUAAACUUCUGUUUGGAUCUUUGAACACCACAUUUAAUUUAGUAAAAUUCUUUUAAUGGUUGCAGUAGCUAAAUAGAAAAAGCUAAUUCUUUUUGCUGCUGCACAUGCCCAGUUAAUGUGAAGGAGAAUGUUCCUUGCUUUUUUUAAAUUAUUACAAAAUUUGAUGGAUAGAUUCAUAUAACGCUUCAUAUUAUCCUAUUUUAUCCAUUACAGGAUUCAUGGCGGUGUGACAUUUGCAAUACAUAUGGUGGGAAAGGAUAUGGUUAGUUAAUUUCUGUCAACUCUGCCUUACUGUAUUCCUGAUGCUCUUUUCAUAUUCAAAAUUCUAAUUUCCUUUGUUCCUCUUUGAAACUUGUGAUCAUUUGUUAGUUGUUUGCCAAACUCUACACUUUCCAUGAAUAUCUUGUGGUUUACAAAAGCCUGUACAGAUGCAGGCUGGAACAAAGAUGUAUAGGCAUCAAGAAUUGAUAAAAGUUAUCUCUUGUAUAUAUGCUGAGUGGUCUCCAUUGUACCAUGCACAUGCAUUUGAUAUGUGAAUGACUGAUCAGCUACAAACGAAUAUCAUUUAAAACGGCAUGGUGGCAUCACAUUUUUUUAGUACCUUUUCAUAUUGAUGAAUCUGUAGUAAAGCAAGAUUAGCUACAACGUUGUGCUAUCUACUUGUCAUUUGUGCACCAUGCGAGUACUGUUGCCAUAAUAUAGACGCACAGCUUAGCAUCUCUUGUUCAACUAGCUUUCUGAUUUGGUACUUGUAAAAAUUGUAAUACAAGCAGCAUCUCUUACUCAGUUAAUUCUUUUUUAUGUCUAAUCCAUCUGACAGAGGCUACCUAUGAAGUUCUUCCUAGACUAUGUCAAAUUAGAUUUGAUCAUGGUGUUAUAGAUGAAUACCUAUUCCUCGACAUGCCCAAUGAAUUCCGGUUGCCUAAUGGAUUAAUGCUGCUGGAGCAUACAAAAGUUGUUCAAAAGAGUGUUUAUGAGCAUCUACAUGUCACACACGAGGGGCAUUUGAGAAUCAUAUUCACACCAGAAUUAAAGGUAUGUUGCUUCGUAGCUCGCUCACACAUUUGCGAUUUUUGUAGCAUGUCCAUGUUAUGUAUAUCAUUUGUAAACAUAGAAAUGAUCCACAAGCAAGGGGUUAUAACCAUUCUUAUCUAUCUUUUGCCUAUGAAUUACGUAGAUCAUGUCCUGGGAGUUCUGUUCACGACGACAUGAAGAGUAUAUCACCCGCAGGGUUCUGGCACCACAGGUGGAGUUCAUGGACCAGCGCACUCUUCCGCUUUAAUUUGGCUACAAAUUUGUUAAUUUAAGAUUUCCCCUUGCCUAGCUAUAUAGUAAUGUAGUUACUUUUUAGGGCAUAGUGAAUUUGUUAUAUAGUUAUUGCUCCACAACCUAGGUCUUAGGUGACAAAUCAUAUAUGAUGUGGCAUAAAUCUAAUUAUUAUAUGACAACUUUGUUGGAUCCUUCAUAAUUGAGUAAAAAGUGCUGUUUCUGUCACAACUAGAUCUCUUCCACAAACUAUUUUGAUUCUUCAUUUUUCAUUGAUGUACUGGAGUUCAAAGCUGGUUCAUAAACCCCAGAGAGGACCAAACCUUUUUAACCAUAAACCAUUCUCGUUGCAUUUAAAUUCUAAUAUGUACUCUUUAAGGGCAUUCCGUAAAUGCAUAUUCAUGUUUAACUUAAGUGUAACUAUCAUUGAUGAAUGGUGCUUAUAUUUUACAUGCGAUUCUGCAUUUCAGGUCAAUAAUCUGCUACAAGUUGCCCAGAAAUACCAAGCUGCUGCCAGUGAAAGUGGUCCUGCUGGGGUUUCAAACAAUGAUGCACAAACCAUUUGCAACAUGUUAGUGAAUGGACUAUGCUUCACUGCUGUAUCGUCCAUUGUGUAUCUUUUGCCAUGAUAAAUAGAAAAACAUGUAUCUCAGAGCAAUCAUGUUUUUGAUCUCACUAAAGCAAGGACACCAUUUUAUUUCUUGUUUCGUUAGGUUUGUGACUGCAUCGCGGCAACUAGCGAAGAAUCUGGAGCACCACACAUUGAAUGAACAUGGUCUUUCUAAACGAUAUGUUCGCUGCCUGCAGGUAAUAGAGGCUGUUCCCGUCGCAUUAUGUACUUAUUCAAUAUUAUCCCAUAAAUCCUGCUUAGAUUUUGGUGCACUAUGUAAGUAUCUGUCUGUCCGUCCUAUCGUCCUCUUGUACAUUCAUAUGCAUCAAGCACACUGAUGAUCAUCUGUCCUUGUCAGAUAUCGGAGGUGGUGAAUCAUAUGAAGGACUUGAUCAAGUUCACCAACAAGAACAAUCUUGGUCCUAUAGGUAUGGUCAUGCACACUACCUAUCAUUGUCUUCAGCUUAUACCCAGUUGUAGCUGUGUUUGUGAAUAAUUUUUCUGAAGUAGGUUCAUGUCCUUUUUUUUUGCUCACUGUUUCCAUGAAGAUGGUAGGUCAUAUUAUUAAAAUGAUAAGCCUUCUGUAGAAAAGUUAAUUGGUUGUUCAAAUUCUGUUGUAUAAGCAAAACCCACAGCACUAGAAAUGACAGUUGAACCAUCAAGGGACAAACCCAGCUGAUGCUAUAUGAUAACUUGGUAAACUCAGUUGUUUUUGGACCUAAUGAAGCGGCAUAUUAUAUGUGCUCUUUGAUGCAGUUCAUUUGUUUUUCCUGCUGAGAGCAGCAGCACAUUGAACUAUAUGACACGGAAGGUAGCAAGACAAUAAUAGAUUAUCAGAAUGCAGUACCAUUCUUGAUAUAAGUAGCACUUCCUGCUUACCCCAUCAACCUUCGAUGUCCUUUUAAUGUGCUCUGUGUUCAUAUGCAGAGGGCCUGAAGAAUUAUCCAAAACCAAAUGUACUGAAACUUCCAGGACAGAAUACACAUGAGGCAAAACAAAUAAUGGCUGCUGCUGGCCUUCCCAAUGACCAGAACACCACCAAAGCCAUGGGUGUCAAACAAGAAAUAAGGGCUCAUGUGGACAACAUAACUUCUGGCGUUGGAGCUGUUGGUAAUUGUGCUCCACAGAAUUCUGCAGCACUAAACAGUUACCAGAAUAUACUCAGAAGCUCCAGUGCAAAUCAGAGUCUGCUUCAGCAAGAGGCGUCAAGUGUUUUCAAAGGCCCUGCAGCAAUGCACAAUGGCAUACAGCUGGAAGCAUCUAGAUCGUUCCGUGGACCUAACCAAGUGCAGCUCACACAGUUCCAACAUUCUGUGUCAUUUCAACAUCCAAUGCCCCAGCAUAACAAUGUCCAGGGUCUGGGAAUGCAAAAUAAUCUCCAGGGCUUGGGAGUGCAAAAUAAUCUGCAGGGUGUGAACCCACAAUAUCAGCAGCAUGUUUUCAAUCAGCUGCUUCAAGAAGUUAAGAACACUAACAACCAUGCUUUGGUGCAACAACCACCUCCAGAUAACCCUAACGUAAACAGUGGUCUCGUAUCCGGAGCUGCUAACACCAACAGUGCUGCUACUGGAGAGCAGGCACAGCAUAUCAAUAACAGCACCGCGAAGGGUGCUGCUACAGUUGGCACCGAGCCGAGCAAUGUGAUCAACAACAGCACAGCCAGCAUCAUCCCCAGCAGAAGUAACAGUUUCAAGUCAGUAAGCAGCAAUCCAGCAGCUGCUACUGGAGGCAAUGCCGCAACCUCCAAGGCAGAGCCCUUCCAUGAAUUGGAGGAUCUCGACAAUCUAAUUGCCAAUGAACUGGUGGAAAGCGGGCUGUUCAUGGGGGACCAAGGCGGUAACGGCUUCUCGUGGAACAUGUGAUAGGAGUACAUAGACGUCUCACUGCUCUGUGAGCUUCACUGUAAGCGUUGAGCAACAGCCUACUUGGCUGCUAGUGUGGAAACUAGCGAGUGGUGAUGGAAAGUUGCCCUAGAUUCUAGUUUUCUCUCGUUUCCUUGUCCUUUUGGAGUUCUUGUAUUGCCGUUACUGAUGACCAUACUCUGAUGUAACUUCAGAUGUGAGUUGGAUCUGUCGUGGGGAUGUGAAAGCAGUAAUCGGUAGUUACUGGAAUAUAUUGUUUUCGCGCUAUCGAAUGUAUUGCUGUGAUUGUCACAUUAUGUCAACCCAAAGUCUUCAUCAAAAGAACUUCGUGCUACGAUCCAGCUUUGAUCUGUUUGGUGCAAGCCCUAGGUAGUUACCAAACUUUAUCUACCAUCAAUCAACCGUUGUUUUCUAGUGGUAGGUGGUAUAUGUUUUGAGCGUUCAAAUUGAGUCAAGCAGUCACAGUCAACCAUUGCUUUCUAGUGGUGAGUGCUUUGUUUUGAUGUUAGUAAGUACUCUCCAUCCUGAAUUGUAGUUCAUUUUAGCUUUUCUAGAUAUAUAUAAUUUUUAUUAUGCACCUAGAUAUAGUAUGUUUAUAUACGAACCUAGAAAAGCCAGAACGACCUAUAAUUUGAAUAAUUUGAAAUGGAGGGAGUAGUGUUCGUGUUCUAGUGUUGAUGUACCUUCUUUCAUAAUUUUACCAGCACUCGUUGUAAUGAUUGUUUUAUGACAAUUGUUUCAAAACAUGAUAUAACCCGAGGUUACUGAAGAGCUGCGCUGAUAGCGAUAGUGAACAUAUCUUUUCCUCGCUGGAAAAGAUGAGAAUUAGAACUAAGGUUCACAAUUCACACUGAUUUACAAUAGACCAUCCUUCGAUGCCAGGGUAGGGCAUAUGCAGGAGCUUCAGUAAUGACCAAUGUUUUAUGAACCCAUCACGUCAUGGGCAUAGUAUGAAGCGGCCAAGCAGGCGUACUAUAACCUUGAUGAUCGAAGGAGCGCAUUAGGUACGAACUCUAUGGAAAGCAGUUCAUCAUAUCAUAUCAAAGUAAUUACCAAUUUAACCAUAGAAUCUCACUAUUUUUGUGCCACCAAGAGAUCACGACAAGGGUCCACCAGAUGAUAUCAAGUAACCGCCCCACCACAGAGUUCACCAGAUAACUAGAUUCUAUGUUAUCAAGAAGUAACAACCACAAGAGUUCACCAAGUUCUGUGCCACCAAGUAACCACCACAAAACUCACCCUUCAGCUAUCAGAGCUAGACAGAGCAGUUAGAUCAUAUUGAGGUUACAAAUACAAAAGACGAACAACAAAUAUUGCAAGUGUUGUCACCCACAAGAAGAAAGUCACAACCACGAACCAGAAAGCAAAACUGUAGUCCUGCAAGAAAUAAAACAACAUUUACAUCUUCAGUCAAGACAAAGCAGAACUUAGUAGAUAUUAUUCAUUUUCAGCUAUUAGAAUUCAAUGCUUGCAUGCUUCUUUAGCUGUUCCUCAACUCGUGUAUAUGUACUUACCGAAGAGGUAUUCAUGCCUCUCACUUGAGUAGCGGCAGCUGCAACCGCCUUGGUGAUUUCCUCCUCUACCGCGCCGUGGGGUGUGCUCAGCGAUCCCGCCUGUAUGUCAAUCAUAUAUAAAUCAAUCUUUCCUUUCCUUUCCUUGAGAUAAGAAUAAGUCUAACCCCAAUGCACUAAUGGAGAAGAGAAUAGAAACACCAAACAGAAAGGAGAAAAAAACUAUACACCAUUACCAUCUAGGCAGUAUACUAAGAGCAAACUCACCCAAGCAUAAGUAUUUACUACUAAAAACAAGUUCACUGUGCCUAUAAUUGAACAUCUGCUUGAUGCACUGUAUGGAGCUACUAUAUUAAAAAAUUGGACAUGAGAUUAGGAUAGACCAGAUAAGAAUGCAAGAAGACAUUCCUAAGACUACGUUUGGAACACGCCUAGACCAUUAUGAAUACACUGAUGCCCUUUGACAUAAUGCCACCUGCAACUUUUUAAGCACUAAUGAAUACCAUUUUUGCAGAUCAUCUAGGCAACUUCAUAUUGGUAUCCUUUGAUGACAUACUAAUUUUCAAUUUUUCAACAAUAAUCCAAUUGAAACUUGGAAGUAGCAAAAUUCCUUUGAACGUGUUGAAAUAACAUCGUCUCAAUGCUAUCCUGUGCUACAAGCUGAGCAUCUAGGCCAUGUGAUAAGUGAUGCUGGUGUGUCAACUGAUCCAAGCAAAUUUUCUAACAUUGUGCAGUGGCCUAAGCCAAUUAAUGUGACCCAAUUUGGGGGAUUUCUUGGGCUUACGGGAUACUAAAGAAACUUUGUCAAGGGAUAUGGGCAAAUCUGCAAGCUCCUAUUUGAUCUCCUGAAGAAGAAAUUGAACAGGGUCCAGCUCAAACAGCAGAAUUUGAUAAGCAUGGGAGGGUUAUGAAAAUUGACAACUUGCCCAGUUUCUGGCCCUUUUAAACUUCAGCAAACCUCAUUUUGGAAACUAAUGCCUGUGGGACUAGCAUUGAGGCUUUGUUGAUGCAAUGUGGUCGACCAAUAGCAUACUGUAGCAAGAUAUGGGAGAAAAAGGCACCUGCCUAAAUGUACUUAGGGCAGCUCUAGUGUGUAUUUGAUUUGAGAAUUGAAAGUUCGAUGGCUCCAGUGUGAACACUGAUUCCUGGGCCCAUAUAUCAAAUAAAAAACUAUCCAUGCUGUUCCCCUCUCCUGGCUCCUGCCAUGCUGCGGCCUGCAUGGGCUCAGAUAUCCCUGCAUCUCUGUUACAUUAUUUUAUUCUCUCAGUUUGCACCGUAUUGGGAAGCCGAUUUUGAUUCUGGCACAUAACAGUAGGAUGCUCAAGGCUCUAGUGUGCAUGGUCAAGCUUUAAAGAAGUGGCGACAUUAUUACUAGUUGGGAGUUAAACUCAUCAUUAACACGUACCGCCAAAAUCUUAAAUAUAAUACUACACAAAAACUGAUCGAUCGGAUACAACAUAAGUUGUUACUCAAAUUGUUGGAGUUUGACUGUUCAAUAGAAUACAGGAACGAAAAAGAGGACAUGGAGUAGAUUCUAUCGAUGAUAAGUAAAUGGAAUAAAACAUAUGUUGCUACCAUGUAACUACACCAAGAUUUGUCAGUGCUCAAGAAAUCAGGUGCAGGAAUGGAGAACUUCCUAACAUUCAGGCAAAACCGCGGAGUAGUCUGUUAGCAUCGGCGGGAAGGAACAGAAAACUCAGAACUCACUUUAUUAGAGAUGUAAAAUGAAGAUCGGAAGUCCACCGUCCACUUUUUGAGAAAGAUAACAUCGUUACAAGUUACUGCGUAGUCAAACGGCUGUAAUCACUCAGGAUUUUACUGUAAUUUCUUCCACGUUUCUGUAAAAAUAAAGGACAAGACCGCGCUAAUUUAGUUGUCUCUUCAGCUGAAGAAUAGGCCUAUCUCUAGCUAUGUUCGUCAAUUUUUCCCAUUAAAUUAUCCCAAACCGAAUGCAAAUUCAGAUCCUAGCACUGCAGGGUAUGACAAGGACACAAGCCAGAAGGUGGUGUAUGCCAGCGGCGGACCUGAAUAACAUCAAUGCAAUCUGUUAAUCAUACUUACACCGGAGAUGACGAGGACGGAGAGGGUGGCCACGGCGGCCGCGAUGGCCAACUUCUCGACGUCCUGACUGCGCACGGCGAGGUUCUUCCGGGAAACAUCGGCGAGGCAGCUCCUCACGCUGUUCGCCACGGUCUCCCCGGCAUCCUCGACACUCAGCAGACCUCCAGGCAUGAGGAGGUCCUGGACCAGCUCCCUCGCCCUCGCGGCGACCGCCUCCACGAUGACGGCAGGCUCCGCCUCUUCCGACGCCAUCUGCGACAAAAACCCCCGUUACGGACACGAAAUGCCAGCGAACGGAGUGAGAAUCAGUGAAGGAGGGACACGGCGGCAGAGCGACGUAGCCUCGUCGCGCCGCUCACCUGCGAAGCAAAGCGACGCUCGCCGGCGGUGAGGGGGUCGUGCGGCGGCUCGAGCGUGAAGGCGGUGGCGACUUGGUCUGGGCCUUCCCGGAGACGGCGGCGGCGUGCGAUCUUUUGGUCUGGGUCAGUUGCUGUCGGAGAAGAAGGCCGUGGAGGGCCCAAAUAGGAAGCGCAGCGGGCCUUAACGGGCCAGGAGCUGGAGGUGAUCGGCCCGCGAUCAUAGGUUUAUUUUGUUCUUCAACCUUUUCCCUUUCUAAUCCCUGUUACGAAUUCACUAAUUUCUAAAAGUAAACAAAAUUAUAUGAUAUGGUACUUCAUCAUGCAUUAUACAACUAAUAACUGAUUCAUUAUUUUUCAAAGCUAGUACAAGGUGGUAUAUCAUAUCAGCAUUCUAUAUGAAAUUUGUUAGAGGCACCUCUCAUGUACAUUGAACAUUUCUAAAAGGUAUUCAAAGAAUGUACAAAAGCUAAUUCAAAAUUCAUAAAAAUAUUUCAAAAGUUUUACUUUAUGUUCAAAACAAAAAAUUAAAAUGCUAAAAUAGCGUAUCAAAAUUGUUGAAAUAUAUAGCAUUUUGGAUCUGUUAACUUUAAUUCAAAAUAAAUUAACGUUUAAUAUAGUUUUGUUGUGCUAAUUUUAAACAACAUUGUGGUUUAAACGAACUUAAAAUAGAUUAAAGUUUUAAGAAAAAAUACAUUUGAAAUUUGAUACGCAAACUAGCCUUCUACCGGUGGAUGUAAAAGUUACAUUGCUAAAACCUAGCAUCUGGAUCGAACAGCUAAUAUGCUUAGGUGUUGUAUAGAUGCUUACAAUUUUAUUUACCCAUCGACACCAAUGCAUAAAUCUAGUGAUAAUGGAAUGCAACAAGUUCUUAGACCGAAAGAUCAUCUUUAUAAGCAAUAUCUUAGGGAGACCGAUGGAACACUUGAACAAAAGCCAAAUAAGAGGAUUAUGACAUGUUUGGUUCACAUUCAUAUAGUUCAACACUUUAUCACAUUUUAUUUUAAGUUGGGCAAAGCUAGUUUAACGUUCUUGCAUUGAGAUCCAUGCCACAGAUACGCGAUAUCAGUGAUGGGUAAAAACAGGAUUCGUCACUUUCCAAAGAAGACUGGUGCGUGUACACCCACUGCACCGUGGAGGCGGAACAAGAAGGGGCUUGAUGCCAUUUUUCAUGAUCCAGCUUCGAUCGGCUUGGUUGCAGUGAUCUCCAUGUAGCUCCAAUACUUCAUCUGCCUUGUACCCACCGUACCAUUGCGUCUUAUGGUGCUGACUUGUUCCCCAAGUGCUUGCUCCUGCACCUGCUCCCGCUCCCGCUCUAGCCACCUCAGCUGCUAUCUCUAGAUCUGCUCUGCCUUGAUAUAACACCGACGACAUGUUUUGUAGAUUUGGUUUUGCAACCGUAAUACUGCUCCACUUCGGACUCGACGAAUGGAAAGAUAACUCGCCGUGUGUGCAUGAUGGCUUCCACAAAAAGUGGGAAGUCGAGUCCAUUUGAUUCUGUCUUGGUUGUCGUGCGGAAUACAAUAAGUUUAUAUGAUGGGCAAAAAUGAAUAUAGUCAAAUAUGAAAAUAAGUCCGCUAGCAACCUAACAUAAACGGUGGGUUCUCCCGAUAUCCUCACAAGACUCACAUUAGAAUUUGGUUAACAUUCAACAAUAAAAAUGAAAAAAACAAGGUGGAGGAGGAAGAACCCUGACCUAAACAAUUAAUGAAAAAUAAGUCCACUAGCAACAUGACCUAAGCAGUGGGUUUUUCGACACUCACAAGACUCAACGUUACGACAUCUCACGUUAGAAUUUGGUUAACAUCCAACGAUAAAGAUGAGAAGAAAAAAAGACCGAGGAGGAAGAACCCGGACCUAAACAGUUAAUGAAAAAAAAACAUGUUGGGUGGUCUCGUCACCACUUGCGGAAGUGGAAGAGAACCACGACCACAGUAUACGCCAGGGCGCCCGCGACCCCGAUGGGGACGUCGAGCUCGCGCUCACGGUUGACGGAGCAGACGGACCAGGUGAGGAUGCCGAUGGUGAGGCCGAGCGCGAGCUGGAGCGUGCACUUGGCCCAGGCCACCGAGCUCGGGGACCUGUCGAACGAGGUCGCGAGGAGGCGGACCAGGAGCACGAGCGCGAGCACCACCAGCACGCCGUGGGCGACGAUCAGGUACCCGUCGCCAGGAGCAGCUUGCUUCACGACGGGGAACGCCGGAGCGGCGGCAGGCGCCGCAGAGCGACAAGAGCAUGUUGGUGUAUUUGGCCGCAGGCGCAGAUCCGCUCUGAAAUAUAAGGGAGGAGCAAGCUCAGAGUUUGUAUUAAUUCAAAAGUAUUCUAAUUUUAAACACUACCACAUCAAAGAAGUAGACUCUGAAAAAUACGUUUCAUAUUUGAUCUAAUUAUGCCUAUUUGAUACCGUGAAUACUAUUGAACUUGAUCAGACUCAGAAUAGUUUAACUACGGAUGAACUCAAAAAUCUAUUAUAUUUCAGGAUCGACUGAGAGAGUAUAUUUUUAGAAACGGACGUGUGUUUUAAUACAAACCACAUGUACUUAUCGAUGCAUUAGGUUCUGCAUUAUCUGGAACCGGCGGUAAUUGUCCACUUGGUCAACAACAUUUAGAGAACAAAACAACCUCGAAUGGAACCCCAGCUAAGCCAAGCCAAACUCGAUCACCCCCACUGCUCCUCUCUAGCUCGAUGAUCUUGGCCCAAAGUGUUUCAUUCUACAGCGUUUAAUAUAGCGAGUGGCCUGACAACUAUGGUUUUAUUUGGACUAUAAGUUCACUGCCGGAUUGCACAUGCAUUCGGGGGGUGUAGACGACGCUGGAAAUGGAGUAGGAGCCGGUGGUGGUGGUUCCUCAUCGUCUGCGGCGGUGGAGCUUGUGGAAUGAGGCGUGGUGGCUCUCUCCUCUCCAAUGUUGGUCGGAGGACUUGGAGGAGUAGCAGCUAGCAGAUGAAGAUCGAUGGACUUGGAUGCCAAGGCAAUCCCUCACAGUCGGAGCUGUUGGUGUGGUGAUGACCGGGUUUUCAAUUUGGAUCGAGCUUGCCGGCCGGCGUCAGCCCUCAAGGCCUCAACUCCUCUCGUCCCCUCUCCUCCCUCUUCCAGUUUUGUGAGAAGAUCCCAAAACACGCUAUUUCCUACGGUAUUUCUUUUUUACUAGCCAGAGCCCAGAGCACUUGGCAGUUGGGAUGGCAGUAAGAAAAAUAACUUCUUACCCAUGCGGGGUCUAUGUGUGUCGUCGUGCUGUUCAAUUUAUAAGAAGAAGCUUCGAUCCUUAAGAAGAAAGCAACAGCAAUACCUGUUCAUAUCACUGUCUACACCAGGGGGUUCAAAACCUAGCUCAGCAACGUGUCCGUCGGCAACGAAGCGCCUUACGAUGACUUACAUCCACCUCAAAAUCUGCCAGACCAAUUCCUGGUAGCCGUUCACAGGGGUGCAAUGUACGUGGAAAAGAAAAGGAGUUCAAACUAUGCCUGAGAAAAAAGAACGAACAGGUUUCCCAAAGGACGAAGGAAAACCAGAUGCCAUCUCUUCCUUAGGAGGUUGGUAAUUACCUUUUCUGGGCAUUCCUUGCAGAUUGUUCUUUUAUCCCCUGGCACGGCUAAGCUGCAUGCCUUCUAAGUCAGAAAAGGAAAUGUAGAAGAGAAAGACAAGUGAGGAGAGGGGAACAGAACAGCACACGAUCAUGCCCAACCGGUGUAUUGUUCCGGGCAUUUUCUUAAAGGAAGUUGACACAAAGCCACUUUGUUAAAUCAUUCUAUCCACACGGCACUUUUUUUUUUGUGCUUCUGGAAUUUUAUGAAAGGGGAAGUGCCGGAUCCGGAGCACCGCCACUGUUAACAAGGAAAAGAAGGGGAACACGCCGGAGCAGGCCUAUCCCAAAGCUUAGUCGGCGAAAUUUCUUGGUCGCCGGCGACGAUGAAAGGCGACGGCGGCGGCGGAGGAGGAGGAAGGAGGGCGAAGCUUGCGGACGCCAUAUUCCGUUUCUCGCCCUGUUCGACGACCGCCUCCUCUCGGUUUCUCGCUCCGUCCUUCUCUAGCUCCAACUUGGGCCAAUAGAAUACAAACUGGUAUAUACAGUCUUUGCAGAUAUAUCUUAGGCAAAAGCUUGCCCAAGUAGUUGGGGCAAUAUAUGCAAACUGCUCACAGCUAGUAUAUAGAGCAAAAUUUACAGUAAGAUAAUACAAUUAUGCCUAUACUUUUCAUUAUAUUCUAAGAGUGAUUAUACAUUACCAGAUGAUCUCUUCUACCAAAGAUUUAAUAAAAAGUAACUACAGCACGCUAUUUUCUCUAAUUUUUUAAGAUGAUGACUCUUUUCUCUAAAUGUUUGAAAAGAGAUUACAUACUUACAGUUCCAUAGUUCAUAUAAACAGCAUCAUAUCUGUUGUUAGGACAGGCGUCUACUCUUAUAUCAACAAAACAUAUGUUAAGCCUCCUUUAUCUUUCUGGUAAGAGUUGUUCUUCUAUCAUCAGCGAGAGUUUACUUUGCUGUCGAUGCAGGCAAUAAUAGAUAGAUUUCUGUACAUAGUUGGGCCUAGGCUAACUAAUUGCUUUCGCUUGACUCUUCCAGUAAAAAAGUAUACUGAGUGGUUGAAGGAAACGAAGAUCGACAUGAGCUAGAUAUGGAUGUCGGCAAUUAAGUGGAAGGCAUUGUUCAAGAAAAUAGGCCGGGGUCGAUUUCAACAUUGAAUUUCAUAGUAGUUAGAUCCCCGACAAUUAUAUACCUGCUAAUCCGAUGCCCACCCCGCCUCAUAUUGUGCCGGAAUGGUAUUUCCUACCGAUCCAUGCCAUUCUUCGCAGUAUACCUGACAAAGCGGGAGGCAAUUCAAAGGCACUGGAUAGCGAUAGACGUACGAUUUCAAUCAAAGCCAGCCAAUAGAAUUACUCUAUGAAUAUAGCAGCGAGAAAAAGAAUGGCCCUACAAAAUGACUCUCCUUCAUAUUCCAUCUCUUCUUUUAGGAGCAAAACUAUGCUGUUAGAAUCCAAAGCAUGCUUCCGAAGGGAUCAAAUUUGCAAAUAAAGCCAUGAAGUCUUUCAGAAGUCACCCGAUCAAACUAUUUCACUUAUGAUCUGGCCUGGUUGACCCAAUCAUGAUAUUGAAGGAUGGGACCUUUUCUCGAAGGUUGGAAAGUUCUAUUCGUUUAGUACGAGAUCGCUUCACACCUCGCGGUGCUUACACCUCUCGCCUAUCGAAGUUCUGUUCAAAAACAUAACCCAGUCCCUGUGUUUUUGGUUAAGACCACUAGCUCUAACCGGCCUUGGUUUGUUUUUCCUAAACCUUGUUCCUUGUGCAAAUUUUCAAGCAGAUUUGAUUGAUUAGGAUCCCUUCUCUUCUAGGCAAGGAUCCUUUCUCCUCAGGGUUUUCCUAUAGAAAGAAAAGAAUAGGCAAUGAUCUGACUUGGGCGACGGAAUGUGUUUUACAAUAGUUCCAACGUUUGAGUAAUUGAACUUGCUUCUUCACGGAGCUCCACACUUUCUUUUCUUGACUCGCAGCAACAAAUAAUGCAGUAAUAGGUAAUGUUUUUAAUCCUUCCUGAAUUAGUGAUACGAAAAAGUAAACGAAUAAAUGCGGGAAAAGUUGGGGAAAUCAACAGAAAAAGUUCCGUAAUCGUCCUAUUUUUUCGUUGCAUUUCCUUGUUUUUAACGGAAGCGAUAAAUGCGUACUUAAUAUAGUGAUGAUUCCAUGAAUCUCUGAAAAGGUAGGGGUCAAGGACCUUAUGGGACUGCAAUCGUGCCUGCCAAUUGGGUGAAAUUGGCUUUACUAGUCUCCUCUCUGUCUCUUUCCACUUCUGUCUUUCUAGUGCAAAUCUCAUAAGUAGAAAGAAAGCGGUAGUUUGAAGUGAGCCGCGCUCUCUCUUUCGGAAUUCUGCACCUAGGUACCACUCUAGAUUUCUUACUGGCUGACUCAAGUGCUAACUCAUAGUGCAUAGCAUGUUCAUAAGCCUUGUUCACACUAUUCCUGAAAAUUGGUUUCUUCUUUUCAAGAGUUGGGAUUGAAGGAUUUGCUAAUGCCCGACCCUUCUCGACUAGAAACUCUUCCGCUCCUCCGGAUCUUAUUUCGAAGUUCGCAGUGCUCUUGUUCAAUAGACAUUCUGCUGGAACUCACCUUUAUCUUUAGAGAUGAAUAAAUGGGUACUUUACCUUAAAAACUGGGUUGCCCCCUGCCUUCCAAAGGUGCCUAAAGGACGGGCCAGUCUGCAUCGCUAUAGGCAUGGUUUUCCAGAGGCGAGCGGGUCGAGAUGUGAAUGCCAUUACCUUUGAGAUAAGGCAGAACACGCUUUAACGCUGUCCAGUGCAGUGGGCUGAUGCAUAAAAUGCGAUGCCUUGUGAACCGCAAAGGUGAGGCGGUUAUAGAUGCCCUAACAAAACUUCGUAAGAAGAUAUCGCGAGAAAUAGUUGAGGAUCGAACUCUAUCUCAAAAGAGAAAUCGAUGUUUUACUACCAGUCACAAGCUUUAUGUUUGCAUUUAUGGAUAACCAAUUCAUUUUAUUAAGUGUAGGCGCCGGAAUCAUUGUUUCGGUUGCCAUUUUUGCCGCUUAUAAAGCGGGGCAAGUUUUUGGUCUUAGAGAACAAAUCCACGCCCACACAUUGGAUAUUGAGAUUAUAAAACUCAAAAUAUAAUCCCCGGAGGAAGCACUCGUCGUGUCCAUCAGUGCAUCUAAUUCUCCCGUGCUCUCCACAAAGUGUGAAGCUCCUCAGAGUUGGAUCAGAUAGGAAAUCCUCACUUUUCCAAGACAGAAGAGAAGCAAGCAACGGAUUGAGCAACUAGCGCGAAAGCCGUUGCGCUAACGCGCAUUCUCCACCGGCUUAUGUGGUUUAGGAAAGAAAGUAAUUGAGAGUUGCCUUUUGCCAAGGAAGCUAACUCAAAAUAGGUUAGGGUACCCAUUGCUUCCUCUUUCGAGGCUUACUCCUAGAGCGGUAUCUUUUGAAAAAGGUGUCUAGGGAUAGGAGCCGUCAAAGGGCUAGUCAUCGCUAGAAAAUCCGAAACAAGGCUAUCGCUAUCCCGGGGGCUAGCAUAAUAGGAAUCGGGUAAUUCGCUCUUCAUUUCAUAUCUCUACUCAAUUGGCUAGGUUGCCUCCGAGGACCUUAGCGUAGGCCCCUAUGUUAUGCGGCCGUAAUAUUUUUAUACCUUCCACCGCUGUUACGCCAGAAAUCCAAGGUUCCACACGAGCUCCUGUUCUGCGGCGUGGUGGCAGGACCGCUAGGGGAUUGGCUCCGAGUGUAGGUAGGGUCAAAUCCGCAGGGGUCAUGCAAAUACAUAGUCAUUGGCUAGAGAAGUACCGCCAAGCAAAGGGAGAGCAAUCCACGCGGCAUAAGAGUGAAGGUACGUUUGUUGGUAACACAACACAACGAAAGCAAUGAAUUAAAUGGGAUCAAUGCCUAGCAUAGUGGUCUAUUAAAAAUUCAAUUGACUUUGCUAUUUGUCUUUUUUGAACUAUGUUUCAUUCAUAUGAUAGAAUAUGGGUUUAAAUAAAUUGGUUCUUCUCUCGUCUUUCGUACAUCUACAACAUUCCAUUCUACUUACUUUGGUGUAAUGGAAAUGAAACGAGCCUAAGAGCAGAGUAAGUAAGGACUUUGCCUGGUUUGAACUCCAAAGUCAUUUACGCCCUGUAUUUCCUUUGAUUCACACCCACGCUGGAAUUCAGUAGAGUCCCACGAGUCAAUCGACAAAAGCGAGAAACGAGAUAGGCUAGUUCAUUAAGUAAAACCUCUUUUUUGACUGCUUAACUAUUUUCAAUCCUAGCUAGUCUUUCCUACCUUACUUAACUGAAUUGACUUGAGGUACGUACCUACUUCUCGCUAUUGGGUUCUGUUCUUCCUGUCACUCUAGGCUUUCGAAAGGCCGCGGGCGAUUCACACUGCUCGUUGGUCCGUGGCUAGUGCUUUUCUUUUCGCUAAUCACCCAACUCUCAGGCCAGUCCGAAGGGCAUUGAUGGAACACAGACCGGUAAGCUCUUCGAUUAACGCCGUCCGAACUCUUGCUUGAUAGGACUUCCUAUUCUUCACCUGGGCCUGGGGCUGGUACCUUUCCCAGCUUUCUUUCUGGACAGCUAUCUUUGAUUGACGGAGGGCAGCCUGCCGAGUAAUGCCUGAGUCGCAGCAUCAAGGUCUGACCCAAAUUGAGCGAAGGCGGCCACUUCGCGAUAUUGUGCCAAUUCCCAAGCCUAACCAAACCUCCAUGCUCACUGGUACUUUGACGUCACUAUAGGUAGGUCUCCGUGGGUCUUGAGUUCGGCAAGACGACUUCGGUUCACACGUGAAAGUGCUUCGAAAGGCACCGGCUCCCAAUGGUGAAAUUCUUGCUGAAAGCACAGCUACGUGCUGGCACUCAAUCAAGUAGUAGCGCUGGCACGUCACUCGGCUCCUCGGCUAUUUCUCCUUAGGCGCAUGUCUCAGCAACACAAAACGAGGGUUUCGCUCGUUAUAGGACUUGACCAAACAUCUUUGAUAAGCUAAAGUAGUGUAGUAAGGUUUAAUCUCUCAAUAAGAGAGGAAAAGAAGGUCUAGGAGAAAGCUGGCUAGCAAAAACUAGGAAAGGGGGGCUGGCAGUAGCCGUUCAAGAAAUGUAUCGGGUUGCUCGACCAAAGCCGGUCAAAGAAUCGAUUAUAGAUCGAAUCCUUUUUAUAAGCAAUACCGCUCCGUUAUUGGUAUGUUUAUGUUCUAUAGUAAACGGAUCAAAGGGAUAUCCUCUGGCAUUAGAUAAUAUUCAUCUUGACAAGAAAUUAUCUAUAUGUUAAGAUAUCUCUGACAACAUUCCUAUCUAUUGAUAGAAAGAUCUUCGUCACGGACUUUGCCUUAGACUGACGGAACAAAGCUAAGAAGUAGGCUGAAUGGAAAAAGGAAAGGGACAAGGGCGGUCGUCGCUUGGCGCGAGUGAAAACCGGUGCUAAGAGCUGGAGAUUAUUAUCUAUGAGAGAGAACUGCUUGGCCCACGAAAAGAGGAAGACAAGUUAUGUAGGCAGUAGCCGUUCAAGAAAUGCAGCGGUUGCGCCUUUGACACUUCCUCCAGGUGGAGUUGAUUAACACUCUCAUGGUUGGUCGAUGGAAAUAGCAAGACGAGACAGACAUGAUAAUCUCCCCCUGCCUUCCAAAGGUGCCUAAAGGACGGGCCAGUCUGCGUCGCUAUAGGAAAUAUGUACCAGUUUCCUGAAACUAACAAAUAGAGUUAUAGCUUUGAUUGACUUACUAGCUUACGGGAAUGCUUUGAAUCUCAACUUACUUUUUUAGAGGGGGGGAUUACUACUGCAUGGAAGGAUGGUAUACUGGAACGCAGGUGUUCUUACUCUUUCUCUGGUACCUGAUAAAAUAGAGUUGGCUGACUAUAACAUGGAAGGCCCCAAGCGUCGCCUUGAAAAUUAUGUGGAAGAGUUCCGGGUGUCUUGUUUAGUUUGUUUGGCCUUGACCGUCGAUUAGCCAAGUCAUGAAUUUACAUUUUUUGUGCUUUUGGCUUCCGGUUACCAGAAAAGGGACCUUCGCCCUAUUAUCUUUCUAGGCUUAUUUCAAUAUAACAAAUCUGCCAAUCCCGAUAUUCCCACAUUUCAUUCUGGUCCAGUGUCCAUUCCUGAAUGAAAGAAAUGAGCUUUUUUCUGCGCCCCUUCCUCUUUAGAGGGGUUACAGGGCUAUGCUCCUUCCAAGAGGGAAAGUGGGGCGAUUCUUCUUCCUGUAAAGUUUCGUGUUCACAUCCAGUCUUCUCUGUACACUAGUGCUGCUUCCAGUUCUAUGCUAUGUAUGGUAGUCGUUUGACUCGGGAAUCCCUGAGCCCAGCUUUUAGUCCGUGCCUGGCAGUUUCAGCCGUGGUCCAGUCCAGCAGCCUCUUUUCGAUCCAAGAGUCGCUGAAAAAGCUAAAACUUCCUUGUCUUCAACUAUGAACACUGAAGCUUCCACUCCCAUAUGGGCAAGAAGAGCUCCUUCUCUUUUUGCCAAAGCAAAGACUCGCCUCCCCUCAAGAUGAGAAAAUCCCUUCAUCUAGGCGGGCGCCCAUGCCUACUCUUCAUUUUCCAAUAGUGCCAGGACCUGUGUUCCAUAUCCAUUAUCUUUUCCUUGUCCUUCUUGUCGAAUAGAAAGCAAAUGAGCAAAAAACUAAUCUUAAACCCAACAAGUGCUCUCCGCUUCGCUGGGCUUUACCCGCGUGGACGCGGGCUUAUAUAUUCUAUAAGAGAAUGAAAAGCUCUCUCUUUACAAUAAAACGCUGGUAGUAGUAUGAUUAGAAAAACCGCACCCCCCUCUAUUCCCUAAGAAAGCAAAUGAUAAGUCGCAAUUUAUCACCAUAUUACCCGCUUCCAAUUGAUGACUGGCUAAUAUAUAAGUGUUGACCUAAGCCCCUGUGCAGUGGCUCGGCUCCCGAACCGUACGUGAGCAGCCUCGUACGGCUCUUCCUAAGAAGGUCGAAGCCCCUCUCUAUAAAAAAGUUCGUUUUGUGUUGCUGAGACAUGCGCCUAAGGAGAAAUAGCCGAGGAGCCGAGUGACGUGCCAGCGCUACUACUUGAUUGAGUGCCAGCACGUAGCUGUGCUUUCAGCAAGAAUUUCACCAAAAUGUUUGAAUGAUCGGGUAAAGAGCGAGCUUCUUAUAUGGGAUCCGACGCAUCCAGCAGAGCGAAGCAGCGUUCCAUUCUUUUCGGCGGCAUCCUUCCGCAUUGGCGGCGAGUGGAGUGCCACAAUCCUAUUCAUCAUUUUUGAUCUACAUAACCCAAAGCCCAUAGCACUGGCGACAUCUCCGGCAUAAAUGCAAGGAGCCGUUUUUUCGCAAGGUACGAGGAGAAGUAUGACGGCUUGAAUUGGCGGUACUAGUUCUCGAAAAGAAAAAGGCUCAUCCGGCUAAGAAGAGAUGAAUUCCUACAGCAACGUUAUACUUCUUUUAUACGAUCUUCCCUCUUUCUCCACAACAAAACUAAAAACAAACAAUUCAAAUGACUACUUUAGAGUCCCCUCCUCUUCUGUGUCUACUUUAGCCAAACCUUUAACAUAAUUUUUCAUUUAUGCCCAUACAAAAAGGGACAACAGGUUUUGCCCAUUGGUUCAAAGAAGUAUUAAAAUUUCCUUGGAUGUGUAUUAUUCUUCUGGAUUUGGUCGGAAAUAAAUGACUAUACUAUACUAGACUAGACUAGAAAUUUCUAGUAGCGAAGGCCUGCUUUGUCUCAACGAAAGCUUUUUUGUAUGAAAAGGAAGAAAGCCGAGGGGAGAGAACUAAAAGAUAACUCAAGCUAGACAGAAAGGUGCAAAAGUCCAGUUGAAUCUUCCCGUUCUGACUUAUUGAGUGUAUAGAUUCUUUUUGAAAUGCAAUCUAUUUCUCGAUAACCUCCUGGGGUAAAGUUCCUAUUUUCAAGUAUUGCAUCCAAGUAUUAGGAAAGGCUUCUAACCGCCUUUGCAAAAAUUCGGAUCGUGCAGUGGAUGUGUCGGGUUCGAAACUUGCUCCCCCACGUCCUGAGGACAGAAAUUCUCGCUUAGCGCCCUGGGGAAGACUUCUAGACUGCUGUGGGAGCUCGAAGGAAGCAGAAGCAAAACCUGCUUUCUUUCUGUCCCAACCACUUUAGUUAUUCCCUUUUCCAAUAGUCAUAUGGUCCUUAUUUUCUGACUGGAAUACGGAGGAUUGGGUGGAGGUGGCGUAAAAAGGAAGGAAAAAGGAAUUUGAAAUCCGUCCCUUCCCACAGAAUCAUCGGGCUUGACUUUCCUUACUUUCCCAACCCCGCUACUGUAAAAAAAAAAAGAUACUGCAUCUUUUACCAAACCUAAGACACACAAAGUCACAGAACUCAUCCCAAUUCCGAAUGCUUCUCCGAUCCUGAAGUUCUCGCGAAGAGAAUAAGAUGCAGCUCCCCCUCCCUCUGUCUUUUUCCGUAUCUGACAACUAUGUCAUCAUCGUUUUUUUCUUCCGAAAGCUAGAAAGGGCCUACCUAGUGCUUGCAUUUCGGGGUAAAGUAGCUUUCUCCGGCUCAGCUCCUUUCUUUGGCAGAGAAGGGAGAAUGCUUUUCACAAGAACUGUAUUACCAUAUUUUCUUUCAUGAACAAAGGAGCCAACGAAGAAAGAUAAGCAUCUCAGUAGUAGCCAGAUGCUAAUGAAUUGAAUAAAGUUGUUUGCCUACCCGCCGUUAGAGUUCUCUUCCUCAUAGAAGCCGCUGGGUUGACCCCGAAGGCCGAAUUCAAUGGUAGAGAAGGCUUUAAUAAGAAUUUGGCCAUGAGAGACCUUCUUAAGUAUUGCAAAAGAAGGGGCCUGCUGAUAGAGCUGGGCGGGGAGGCGAUACUAGUUAUCAGGUCAGAGAGAGGCCUGGCCCGUAAGCUGGCCCCCUUUAAAAGCCAUUCCUUAUUAAUAAGGAUUUGUUACGCGCGAUAUGCCGACGACUUACUACUGGGAAUCGUGGGUGCCGUAUUUCUUCUCAUAGAAAUACAAAAACGUAUCACCCACUUUCGAUAUCAUAUAGAAUGUUUUUUUUAGCACCCGGUGCCCUUUCGCUCAAAGAAGCGUGAUUCAAUGCUGCGCUAUUUCCGACAAGAAGGAAAAUGGCCAAGGUUUAAUGAUUUCAUGUAAUUCUUCCGCUUACAGCUGAUCGCCUCUUUCAUGAUCUUUUCUAUGGGUAGAACGCUCUUCUCAAAGAUAUAAGAGAUUAUGACAAGAGCCAAUUUUGCAUCUUCUCCUCUUAAGAUUUUCUAUUUCUUUUGCAGGAGUUGUGCCCUCAUCAUCUCCCACGUUGUCCAUAUAUAUUUUAGCUGCUGCGUGGGCCUUUUGUAGAGAACUUUCCUCUCAAAGAUUCUCAGCCUCAAAAGAAGAUUAAUCCCAGCACACCUAUUUCCCCUUAGCUGGUAAAGGCUCAUCAUUCAGUCAGGGCUUUCUCGGACCAACCAACUACUUACUAUAUCUAAUUAUAAUGGAUCCCUGACGUGACUCCGUACCGACGCCUUUCCCUUUGUAGACGGAUAAAUGAGUCUGUAACCUUCGCUUUUCUCCUUUUACGAGCAGUUUUUCCAGUUCCUUAGUAUUACUUAAAAAAAACCUA
RNAcentral lists this long non-coding RNA (35849 nucleotides) under Setaria viridis. Its description in RNAcentral is "long non-coding RNA (SVIR_LNC001246)". Lineage: Eukaryota; Viridiplantae; Streptophyta; Magnoliopsida; Poales; Poaceae. The record is from RNAcentral.